GACGAACGCUGGCGGUGUGCUUAUACAUGCAGUCGAACGAUGAGGUCUCUUCGGAGAUACAUCAGUGGCGGACGGGUGAGUAACACGUAGGUAUCUGCCUCAAGGAGGGGGAUAACAUCGGGAAACCGGUGCUAAUACCCCAUAUGUCCUCCGGGAUGAAAGCUCCGGCGCCUUGAGAUGAGCCUGCGGCUGAUUAGCUUGUUGGUGGGGUAAAGGCCUACCAAGGCAAUGAUCAGUAGCUGGUUUGAGAGGAUGAUCAGCCACAAUGGAACUGAGACACGGUCCAUACUCCUACGGGAGGCAGCAGUAGGGAAUUUUGCGCAAUGGGCGAAAGCCUGACGCAGCAACACCGCGUGUGGGAUGAAGCUUUUCGGAGUGUAAACCACUGUCAGAGGGGACGAAUCAAUGACGGUACCCUCAGAGGAAGCACCGGCUAACUCCGUGCCAGCAGCCGCGGUAAUACGGAGGGUGCAAGCGUUGUCCGGAAUUAUUGGGCGUAAAACGUUCGUAGGCGGCAUGUCAAGUCUGAUGUUAAAGCCCGGAGCUCAACUCCGGUUCAGCAUUGGAUACUGGCAAGCUAGAGUGCAGGAGAGGCAAGGGGAAUUCCUAGUGUAGCGGUGAAAUGCGUAGAUAUUAGGAGGAACACCAGUUGCGUAAGCGCCUUGCUGGACUGUAACUGACGCUGAGGGACGAAAGCCAGGGUAGCGAAUGGGAUUAGAUACCCCAGUAGUCCUGGCCGUAAACGAUGGAUACUAGGUGUCGCGGGUAUCGACCCCUGCGGUGCUGCAGCUAACGCAAUAAGUAUCCCGCCUGGGGAGUACGCACGCAAGUGUGAAACUCAAAGGAAUUGACGGGGACCCGCACAAGCGGUGGAACAUGUGGUUUAAUUCGAAGCAACGCGAAGAACCUUACCAGGGCUUGACAUCCUGAGAAUCCUGUAGAGAUACGGGAGUGCCUUCGGGAACUCAGUGACAGGUGGUGCACGGUUGUCGUCAGCUCGUGUCGUGAGAUGUUGGGUUAAGUCCCGCAACGAGCGCAACCCUCGUUGUUAGUUGCCUGCAGGAGCCUGCUCCUGUAGUGCUCUCUAGCGAGACUGCCGGUGAUAAACCGGAGGAAGGUGGGGACGACGUCAAAUCAUCAUGCCCCUUAUGUCCUGGGCUACACACGUGUUACAAUGGGUGGGACAGCGAGCAGCCAAUCAGCAAUGAUGAGCAAAUCUCUUAAACCCACUCCCAGUUCGGAUCGCAGUCUGCAACUCGACUGCGUGAAGUAGGAAUCGCUAGUAACCGUAGAUCAGCACGCUGCGGUGAAUACGUUCCCGGGUCUUGUACACACUGCCCGUCACACCAUGGAAGCUGACCACGCCCGAAGUCGGUGUGCUACUCUUGAGAGCACCGCCUAAGGCAGGGUUGGUGACUGGGGUGAAGUCG
This 1430-nucleotide ribosomal RNA is filed under the name uncultured organism. RNAcentral's name for it is "bacterial SSU rRNA". It matches the Rfam family "Bacterial small subunit ribosomal RNA". The record is from RNAcentral.